AACGUUUUGUAUCCAUGCUAAGAUUACGUUAGCGACUAGUCCAUUACAGCUAAUGUAACUUCCCAUAUAAGUGAAGCA
Molecule: microRNA precursor, 78 nt
Filed under: Trichobilharzia regenti
Lineage: Eukaryota; Metazoa; Platyhelminthes; Trematoda; Strigeidida; Schistosomatidae
Description: mir-3492 microRNA precursor family
Rfam family: mir-3492 microRNA precursor family
Source: Rfam by way of RNAcentral